RNAcentral lists this ribosomal RNA (262 nucleotides) under uncultured bacterium. RNAcentral describes it as "partial 16S ribosomal RNA". It matches the Rfam family "Bacterial small subunit ribosomal RNA", at positions 793 to 1055 of the family's 1533-position model. The record is from RNAcentral.
GUCCACGCUGUAACGAUGAAUACUAGAUAUUGCAGGAUUUGACCCCUGCAGUGUCGUAGCUAACGCGUUAAGUAUUCCGCCUGGGAAGUACGGUCGCAAGACUAAACUCAAAGGAAUUGACGGGGCCCGCACAAGCGGUGGAUUAUGUGGUUUAAUUCGAAGCAACGCGCAGAACCUUACCUAGGCUUGAAAUCCCACGAACCUGCUUUAAACGGCGGGUGCUCUUCGGAGAAUGUGGUGACAGGCGCUGCAUGGCUGUCGU